CCAACCGCGUGCCCUCUUCCACCUCCGGAUUCAAGUAAGGACGUGGCAUGCUGCAGUGGAUGCCUCAAAAGGAACUCUAUUGUCAAAGCGGCCGCGGCAGCUGGUCCUGCCGUGGUGAAUAUAUGUCUUACUGAAGAUGUAUAUGGUCCUAUGCCUAUAAUGGGUAUAGGGUCUGGCACUAUCAUUGAUCCUGAUGGGACGAUCUUGACCUGUGCACAUUGCAUAGCAGACUUUUCUAGUAGGCAAGUGAUCUCAAAAGGCAAAGGCGGAAAUUGUAGAAGAUUGCAAGAUGCAUAUCGGUCUUUUUGAAGUUUCCUUGGUUAGCUUGCUGUCAUACAAGUUUGAAAGAUGUUCUCCUAACUCAGUCUGGUUCAUAUCUGACUAUGCUAAG
Molecule: long non-coding RNA, 391 nt
Organism: Zingiber officinale
Lineage: Eukaryota; Viridiplantae; Streptophyta; Magnoliopsida; Zingiberales; Zingiberaceae
Exons: 3
Source: RefSeq, a predicted model, not a curated record